AAGAAAUUAGUUUAUUUAAAAAAUUUAAAUUCGUCAAGUUUAAGAUACCACAUUAGUAUUUCUUU
This 65-nucleotide transfer RNA is filed under the name Aconurella montana. RNAcentral's name for it is "tRNA-Asp". Lineage: Eukaryota; Metazoa; Arthropoda; Insecta; Hemiptera; Cicadellidae. The record is from RNAcentral.